GCCCUCGUAGUUCAACGGAUAGAACAAUUCCGUCCUAAGGAAUAGAUGUAGGUUCAAUUCCCGCCGAGGGCACCA
RNAcentral lists this transfer RNA (75 nucleotides) under Candidatus Nomurabacteria bacterium RIFCSPHIGHO2_01_FULL_38_19. RNAcentral describes it as "tRNA-Arg". It matches the Rfam family "tRNA". Rfam says of the family: Transfer RNA (tRNA) molecules are approximately 80 nucleotides in length. The record is from RNAcentral. Lineage: Bacteria; Candidatus Nomuraibacteriota.